UAAUUUCUCUCUCAUCGCUCACGGCCACAAACCACUGCCACUUCACCUCCCAAUAGGCUUCAUAUCCUACCGACCCAAAUCACUAACCACCACCACCACCACCGCCACCGCCAUGAAAGACGGCGGCUCCACCGUGUCAGAGAAGAUCAGGGACGAACUGAGCUUCUACGAGCCUCUCGGUAUCCCUGAAACGGAAUAAUAAUCACAUCACGUCUACUUCAAUCUCUGUUUGAUUCUUUAUUUCUGAUUCUAUAUACAGAGCGAUUCAUCUGGAAUGGUGGUUUUGGGGGUGAAAGAUGUUGGGGUUCAAGAGGAUGAAAAAUAUGUGAAAAUUGGUAUGGAGAUUGAUGGGUUUGUUAAUGUUUUGUUCAAGUUUUUGGGGGUGAAAGAUGGUGGGGUUCAAGAAGAGGCGUUGAAAGCGGUUGCGGUUAUUUGUGGAUUCGAGUGUUACAAGAAUGUUUUAGUGGGAAUGGGGGGUUGUGGUGUUGUGGGUUAGGGGUUUGGAGAGUGGUAGUGAGUUGGGGAAAGAGUUGUCCGCCAGGUGUUUGAUGAAAUGCACGGCGGGUUGUGAUAACGUUUUGGCGGUUUCCGCGUGUGGUGGGGUGAUGGUGGUGGUGGGGAGUUGGUUGGUUUGGCGUGAGGGGUGUUAAAAAAUAUUGUUGGUGUUGAUGAGAUACGGCGGUUUGUGGUCGAUGAAGGCGCGGUUGAGUUGUGUGUUAAGCUUGUUAGAUCGAAAAACGAGUGUUCGCAGAUAAGUGCGAUGGAGUUUCUUUAGGUUUUGUCAUCUGGGAACGAGUUUGUAAAGGGUUUGAUUGAUAACGAAGGCGGGAUUCGUGUGCUUGUGCGCGUGGUUGAUCCUAAGUCGUGGUAUUCGUCUAAAGCGCGAGAGAAGUCAAUGCGUGCACUAAUGGUUUUGUGUUCGGAUUCAGUUGGGUACAUGAACAGUUUGAAAAACUAUGGGUUUAUGGAUCAUAUAUUGUACUUGCUUCACAAUGGUGAGGUUUCGGUUCAAGAAUCGGCGUUAAUGGCUGCAUCUUGGCUUUCCGCAACUUCAGAUGAGUCCAAGAAAGCGAUGGGUGAUGCGGGGUAUAUCGCGGAACUUGAUAGGUUUCUUGAUGCGAAGUCAUUUGAGGCUCGAGAGAUUGCAGCAGAGACGCUUCAGCGGCUGUUGAUAGUUCCCAGGAGUCAAAAACGAUUCGUGCAGACCGAUCAGAAUGUGAAUCUGCUUCUGCAAAUGAUCGAUCCAGAAGAAGGUAAUUCGGGUAAUAGAAAAGUUUUACUUUCGAUAAUCAUGUCAUUAACUUUUUAUCAUGAAGGUGGGAAAAAAAUAUUAAGCUCUGGGUACAUGAAAACCAUAGAAAAACUUGCUGAGGAUCAAGUUUUGGAUGCCAAAAAGAUCAUAAGAAACCUCUCUUCGAGUCGAAUUCAAAGCAUAAUUAGGGGAAUUUCGCAUUCUUGAAGUGUUGUUCCAGCAUCUAGUAUUCCAGAUGGAUGGAUGGGAUUUGGAUAUCGGACCAUGGGUGUGUUCGAGUUUGACAAAUUUGCAACCAGGGCGUAAAAAAGAUCUCAGACGACAGAGUUGCAAACUACCAUAUACAAGAAACAAAAAACGACGUCUUCGCUUUAUUUAUUUAUUUAUUUAUUUAUUUAUUUAUUUAUUUAUUUAUUUAUUUUUACAUUUUUUGGUGAUUUGCUGUAAUGUAAAUAUUCACUGCAAGUUUCCAAAAUUUUUUACUGUU
RNA transcript from Helianthus annuus (common sunflower), 1739 nucleotides. RefSeq lists it as uncharacterized. The record is from RefSeq and is a predicted model, not a curated record. Lineage: Eukaryota; Viridiplantae; Streptophyta; Magnoliopsida; Asterales; Asteraceae. The transcript is spliced from 4 exons.